This 253-nucleotide ribosomal RNA is filed under the name uncultured bacterium. RNAcentral's name for it is "partial 16S ribosomal RNA". It matches the Rfam family "Bacterial small subunit ribosomal RNA", at positions 524 to 776 of the family's 1533-position model. The record is from RNAcentral.
UACGUAGGUGGCAAGCGCUGUCCGGAUUUACUGGGUGUAAAGGGCGUGUAGCCGGGCUGACAAGUCAGAUGUGAAAUCCGGGGGCUCAGCCCCCGAACUGCAUUUGAAACUGUUGGUCUUGAGUAUCGGAGAGGCAGGCGGAAUUCCUAGUGUAGCGGUGAAAUGCGUAGAUAUUAGGAGGAACACCAGUGGCGAAGGCGGCCUGCUGGACGACAACUGACGGUGAGGCGCGAAAGCGUGGGGAGCAAACAGG